UAUCCUGUCUGAAUAUGGGGGGACCAUCCUCCAAGGCUAAAUACUCCUGACUGACCGAUAGUGAACCAGUACCGUGAGGGAAAGGCGAAAAGAACCCCGGCGAGGGGAGUGAAAAAGAACCUGAAACCGUGUACGUACAAGCAGUGGGAGCACCCUUCGGGGUGUGACUGCGUACCUUUUGUAUAAUGGGUCAGCGACUUAUAUUCUGUAGCAAGGUUAACCGAAUAGGGGAGCCGGAGGGAAACCGAGUCUUAAUUGGGCGUUAAGUUGCAGGGUAUAGACCCGAAACCCGGUGAUCUAGCCAUGGGCAGGUUGAAGGUUGGGUAACACUAACUGGAGGACCGAACCGACUAAUGUUGAAAAAUUAGCGGAUGACCUGUGGCUGGGGGUGAAAGGCCAAUCAAACCGGGAGAUAGCUGGUUCUCCCCGAAAGCUAUUUAGGUAGCGCCUCGUGAAUUCAUCUCCGGGGGUAGAGCACUGUUUCGGCUAGGGGGCCAUCCCGGCUUACCAACCCGAUGCAAACUGCGAAUACCGGAGAAUGUUAUCACGGGAGACACACGGCGGGUGCUAACGUCCGUCGUGAAGAGGGAAACAACCCAGACCGCCAGCUAAGGUCCCAAAGUCAUGGUUAAGUGGGAAACGAUGUGGGAAGGCCCAGACAGCCAGGAUGUUGGCUUAGAAGCAGCCAUCAUUUAAAGAAAGCGUAAUAGCUCACUGGUCGAGUCGGCCUGCGCGGAAGAUGUAACGGGGCUAAACCAUGCACCGAAGCUGCGGCAGCGACACUGUGUGUUGUUGGGUAGGGGAGCGUUCUGUAAGCCUGUGAAGGUGUGUCGUGAGGCAUGCUGGAGGUAUCAGAAGUGCGAAUGCUGACAUAAGUAACGAUAAAGCGGGUGAAAAGCCCGCUCGCCGGAAGACCAAGGGUUCCUGUCCAACGUUAAUCGGGGCAGGGUGAGUCGACCCCUAAGGCGAGGCCGAAAGGCGUAGUCGAUGGGAAACGGGUUAAUAUUCCCGUACUUGGUGUUACUGCGAAGGGGGGACGGAGAAGGCUAUGUUGGCCGGGCGACGGUUGUCCCGGUUUAAGCGUGUAGGUGUGUGUUCCAGGUAAAUCCGGUUCACUUUAACACUGAGGCGUGACGACGAGGCACUACGGUGCUGAAGCAACAAAUGCCCUGCUUCCAGGAAAAGCCUCUAAGCAUCAGGUAACAUCAAAUCGUACCCCAAACCGACACAGGUGGUCAGGUAGAGAAUACCAAGGCGCUUGAGAGAACUCGGGUGAAGGAACUAGGCAAAAUGGUGCCGUAACUUCGGGAGAAGGCACGCUGACACGUAGGUGAAGUGAUUUACUCAUGGAGCUGAAGUCAGUCGAAGAUACCAGCUGGCUGCAACUGUUUAUUAAAAACACAGCACUGUGCAAACACGAAAGUGGACGUAUACGGUGUGACGCCUGCCCGGUGCCGGAAGGUUAAUUGAUGGGGUCAGCGCAAGCGAAGCUCCUGAUCGAAGCCCCGGUAAACGGCGGCCGUAACUAUAACGGUCCUAAGGUAGCGAAAUUCCUUGUCGGGUAAGUUCCGACCUGCACGAAUGGCGUAAUGAUGGCCAGGCUGUCUCCACCCGAGACUCAGUGAAAUUGAACUCGCUGUGAAGAUGCAGUGUACCCGCGGCAAGACGGAAAGACCCCGUGAACCUUUACUAUAGCUUGACACUGAACAUUGAGCCUUGAUGUGUAG
Molecule: ribosomal RNA, 1727 nt
Filed under: Salmonella enterica
Lineage: Bacteria; Pseudomonadati; Pseudomonadota; Gammaproteobacteria; Enterobacterales; Enterobacteriaceae
Also listed under: 1 other name
Description: partial 23S ribosomal RNA
Rfam family: Bacterial large subunit ribosomal RNA
Source: RNAcentral